Molecule: ribosomal RNA, 363 nt
Filed under: Haemophilus influenzae
Lineage: Bacteria; Pseudomonadati; Pseudomonadota; Gammaproteobacteria; Pasteurellales; Pasteurellaceae
Description: partial 23S ribosomal RNA
Rfam family: Bacterial large subunit ribosomal RNA
Source: RNAcentral
UAGAGAAUACUCAGGCGCUUGAGAGAACUCGGGUGAAGGAACUAGGCAAAAUAGCACCGUAACUUCGGGAGAAGGUGCGCCGGCGUAGAUUGUAAGGGCUAGCCCCUGAAGGUUGAACCGGUCGAAGAUACCAGCUGGCUGCAACUGUUUAUUAAAAACACAGCACUCUGCAAACACGAAAGUGGACGUAUAGGGUGUGAUGCCUGCCCGGUGCUGGAAGGUUAAUUGAUGGUGUCAUCGAAAGAGAAGCACCUGAUCGAAGCCCCAGUAAACGGCGGCCGUAACUAUAACGGUCCUAAGGUAGCGAAAUUCCUUGUCGGGUAAGUUCCGACCUGCACGAAUGGCAUAAUGAUGGCCAGGCUG